CUAGCGCUAAUACCGGAUACGCCCUUUUGGGGAAAGGCUUGCUGCCGAAGGAUCGGCCCGCGUCUGAUUAGCUAGUUGGUGGGGUAAUGGCCUACCAAGGCGACGAUCAGUAGCUGGUCUGAGAGGAUGAUCAGCCACACUGGGACUGAGACACGGCCCAGACUCCUACGGGAGGCAGCAGUGGGGAAUAUUGGACAAUGGGCGCAAGCCUGAUCCAGCCAUGCCGCGUGAGUGAUGAAGGCCUUAGGGUUGUAAAGCUCUUUUGUCCGGGACGAUAAUGACGGUACCGGAAGAAUAAGCCCCGGCUAACUUCGUGCCAGCAGCCGCGGUAAUACGAAGGGGGCUAGCGUUGCUCGGAAUCACUGGGCGUAAAGGGCGCGUAGGCGGCCAUUCAAGUCGGGGGUGAAAGCCUGUGGCUCAACCACAGAAUUGCCUUCGAUACUGUUUGGCUUGAGUAUGGUAGAGGUCGGUGGAACUGCGAGUGUAGAGGUGAAAUUCGUAGAUAUUCGCAAGAACACCAGUGGCGAAGGCGGCCGACUGGACCAUUACUGACGCUGAGGCGCGAAAGCGUGGGGAGCAAACAGGAUUAGAU
This 592-nucleotide ribosomal RNA is filed under the name Methylobacterium adhaesivum. Its description in RNAcentral is "bacterial SSU rRNA". It matches the Rfam family "Bacterial small subunit ribosomal RNA", at positions 157 to 783 of the family's 1533-position model. The record is from RNAcentral. Lineage: Bacteria; Pseudomonadati; Pseudomonadota; Alphaproteobacteria; Hyphomicrobiales; Methylobacteriaceae.